GUGGGGAAUAUUGGACAAUGGGCGCAAGCCUGAUCCAGCCAUGCCGCGUGAGUGAUGAAGGCCUUAGGGUUGUAAAGCUCUUUCACCGAUGAAGAUAAUGACGGUAGUCGGAGAAGAAGCCCCGGCUAACUUCGUGCCAGCAGCCGCGGUAAUACGAAGGGGGCUAGCGUUGUUCGGAUUUACUGGGCGUAAAGCGCACGUAGGCGGUUUGUUAAGUCAGAGGUGAAAUCCCGGAGCUCAACUCCGGAACUGCCUUUGAUACUGGCAAGCUAGAGUCCGGAAGAGGUAAGUGGAACUCCUAGUGUAGAGGUGGAAUUCGUAGAUAUUAGGAAGAACACCAGUGGCGAAGGCGGCUUACUGGUCCGGAACUGACGCUGAGGUGCGAAAGCGUGGGGAGCAAACAGGAUUAGAAACCCGUGUAGUCC
Molecule: ribosomal RNA, 425 nt
Filed under: uncultured bacterium
Lineage: Bacteria
Description: partial 16S ribosomal RNA
Rfam family: Bacterial small subunit ribosomal RNA
Source: RNAcentral